RNAcentral lists this ribosomal RNA (570 nucleotides) under Lodderomyces parapsilosis. RNAcentral's name for it is "Candida parapsilosis partial large subunit ribosomal RNA". It matches the Rfam family "Eukaryotic large subunit ribosomal RNA", at positions 58 to 646 of the family's 3401-position model. The record is from RNAcentral. Lineage: Eukaryota; Fungi; Ascomycota; Pichiomycetes; Serinales; Debaryomycetaceae.
AAAGAAACCAACAGGGAUUGCCUUAGUAGCGGCGAGUGAAGCGGCAAAAGCUCAAAUUUGAAAUCUGGCAUUUCAGUGUCCGAGUUGUAAUUUGAAGAAGGUAUCUUUGGGUCUGGCUCUUGUCUAUGUUUCUUGGAACAGAACGUCACAGAGGGUGAGAAUCCCGUGCGAUGAGAUGUCCCAGACCUAUGUAAAGUUCCUUCGAAGAGUCGAGUUGUUUGGGAAUGCAGCUCUAAGUGGGUGGUAAAUUCCAUCUAAAGCUAAAUAUUGGCGAGAGACCGAUAGCGAACAAGUACAGUGAUGGAAAGAUGAAAAGAACUUUGAAAAGAGAGUGAAAAAGUACGUGAAAUUGUUGAAAGGGAAGGGCUUGAGAUCAGACUUGGUAUUUUGUAUGUUACUCUCUCGGGGGUGGCCUCUACAGUUUACCGGGCCAGCAUCAGUUUGAGCGGUAGGAUAAGUGCAAAGAAAUGUGGCACUGCUUCGGUAGUGUGUUAUAGUCUUUGUCGAUACUGCCAGCUUAGACUGAGGACUGCGGCUUCGGCCUAGGAUGUUGCAUAAUGAUCUUAAGUC